GCCCCCUCACGUCCCGCCCCUUUCUUUCUGCUGCGUGGCACCACGGGAAUUGUAGUUCUGUGCUACGGAAUCAACCUGAGCUCCGCCCUGACCCUGAGCCCUGCGGGAUGGAGGAACUACUAAUCCUAGCAUGCAUAGCGCGGCGACGGACCGACUUUUUAUUUUUUUCUUAGUACCGGGAAAACAGGAGCGUCUGAUUGGGGUUUGCAGUGUUUUCUCUCUGUUUCUCUCGGGAAGUCGGGCUGUGUGUAUAGCUCCUUAGAUUUGGUAGAAUUGGUAUUCAGAGAAGUCACUCGACUCCUGAGGCGAAGCAUAAAAGGAUGGGAGUGGUGUGGGAAGUAAGUGAGCGUGUGGGGAAAAAAAGUUUUGAGACUGUUUCGCUUUCGUGGAGACAGUUUUUAGUGUGACCGCGCUUUUGUGGGAAACCCAAACCAAGGAGUACGCAGGAGAAUCGGCGCUUUUCGGGUCCUGGAGGUCCCGCCGCUAACACCCCGGGUAGACCAACUAUUGAGGCAGCAAAUUAAUAGGGCACCUACUGGGAGGAAAACACCCAUCCAGACCUCUCAACUGUGACAGGCCCUCCUUCCAAAGCCUCAGUGGGGGACCGUUUCAAAAUCCUUGCAAGUUCCUGCAAGGGACAUAUUUUAUUCUUGGGCGCACAGAGUUGGCCGCUUCCUGAGGUGGAGUACGGACCAGCUGACAACAGGACUCCUUUUCGCCUCCACGGCCAACCUUUUCCACUUCUCCCAAACGGUUGUGCGGAAGGGCGGAGUCAUAUCAUUUAAAAGGAGACUGGAACCCCACCAAUACAAAGGCUGCUUGACUGUUCCCAGAAACUUCCCUACAUGAGGUCCACCGGGCGCAGGGGGUGGAAGGCGCAUUUCCUGGGUCCUGGCAGGCGCGCGCGGCCCUUCUCGCCCUGUCGCCCAGGAUGGAGUGCAGUGCAGUGGCGCAAUUCUACAACCUCCGAUCACUACAACCUCCCCCGUCUGGGGUUCAAGAGAUUCUCCUGCCUCAGCCUUCCGAGUAGCUGGGAUUACAGGCGUGCGCCAACUUGCCCAGACGAUCCUUUUAAACGCAAAAUGCCAUCGACGCAGAAAUUCAAAGGGACAUGGAUGAACCUGGAAAACAUCAUCCUCAGCAAACUGACACAAGAACAGAAAAUGAAACACCGCAUAUUCUCACUCAUAGGUGGGUGAUGAAAAAUGAGAACACAUGGACACAGAAAGGGGAGUACUAAACACUGGAGUCUAUUGGGGGGAA
This is a non-coding RNA of Callithrix jacchus (white-tufted-ear marmoset), 1263 nucleotides long. Lineage: Eukaryota; Metazoa; Chordata; Mammalia; Primates; Cebidae. The record is from RefSeq and is a predicted model, not a curated record.